This 247-nucleotide ribosomal RNA is filed under the name Klebsiella ornithinolytica. RNAcentral describes it as "partial 23S ribosomal RNA". It matches the Rfam family "Bacterial large subunit ribosomal RNA", at positions 146 to 431 of the family's 2925-position model. The record is from RNAcentral. Lineage: Bacteria; Pseudomonadati; Pseudomonadota; Gammaproteobacteria; Enterobacterales; Enterobacteriaceae.
CACUAUCGUUAAGUGAAUACAUAGCUUAACGAAGCGAACCGGGGGAACUGAAACAUCUAAGUACCCCGAGGAAAAGAAAUCAACCGAGAUUCCCCCAGUAGCGGCGAGCGAACGGGGAGCAGCCCAGAGUCUGAAUCAGCGCGUGUGUUAGUGGAACGGUCUGGAAAGUCCGGCGGUACAGGGUGAUAGCCCCGUACACUAAAAUGCACACGUUGUGAACUCGAAGAGUAGGGCGGGACACGUGGUA